This 1040-nucleotide long non-coding RNA is filed under the name Olea europaea (common olive). RNAcentral describes it as "long non-coding RNA (OEUR_LNC005844)". The record is from RNAcentral. Lineage: Eukaryota; Viridiplantae; Streptophyta; Magnoliopsida; Lamiales; Oleaceae.
UCGAACUCAGGAUGAAUUUUGUGAAGAAAAAUGUGGAGAAUAUAACUACAUUGAUUGAUAGGAGUUGAAAGAUGUCUUUUGUUUGCCAAAAAUUACGAAAAAACAAAUAAUCCUUACAUUUUUUUUCCUUCGAACCCUGUCACGGUUGAAACUCGAUUUUGGUCCCCACCGUAACUGUAGCUUAGAAAAUGAUGAUUCCCAACUGAAAUUUGCUGAAAUAGUAACCAGUAAAAAGUAGAAAAUAGAAUGGGGAAGGGGAAAAUGAGAAAAUAAGAAGAAUGAAGGUGAGAAAAGCUGUUGAUUCAAUUAAUAAUUUCACUAAAAUUUUGCAGAAAACAUUACAUAGACCCCGACUUCCUCCCACAUGGUUGUACGUAUACAACUAACAAAAUAUAAAGUCGUGCUUUCCAAACCCAGAAGUAGAAGAUGGUUUUUAACAAAUAACAACAAUUUAUUUCAAGCAAGAUGACACCGUAUGGACUUAAUAAAAAACGACGUCGUAGGCACUUUCAAUUCCAGUUACCGCCACUGGUUUCUUCUCCUCUAUUUUUCCUCCUCUGUUUUUACUUUGAGACCCUUCUUUCCCCAUUGAUCUCCCUCAUGACAACCCUUCUCCUCACCUUGAUCCUGUCCCCAAGAUAUUUAAACAGGAAACUAGGCCUUAAUCCAAUCAACAUCUUUCCAUGUCACAAUUUUUGGUGGUAGUAGAUCUGACCAAUGAAUGAGCUAUUGUUCUACUAUUCGAUUUAUACGCUUCACUAAUUUGGAUUGUAGGAUUGCAAGGAGAUAAUGACCUACCUGUAGUGGCUGCUUUUCUUCAGGGAGUUGUAGGACUGGCAUUAUGUUGUCACCAAGUUUUUUCUUCAAGAGUGAAAUAUGGAAGACUUGUUGAAUUUUGAAGUCUCUAGGUAGUUCCAUUUGCUAAGCCACUGUCCCUACUUUCCUAGUAAUCUAUGAAAGGUUUUCCUUUAACUGAUGGUUUAAUUUGUAUCUCCAUAUCUCCACCACUAGUCUCUUUAUGUUUGUAUUCUGGAUAAAAG